RNAcentral lists this long non-coding RNA (211 nucleotides) under Carica papaya (papaya). RNAcentral's name for it is "long non-coding RNA (CPAP_LNC010746)". Lineage: Eukaryota; Viridiplantae; Streptophyta; Magnoliopsida; Brassicales; Caricaceae. The record is from RNAcentral.
CAAAUUUUACCACUUAGUGCAAAUCUAAGGGUUCCUAUUUAUACUGAGUGAUCUACAGAGAGAAGGAGAGGAGAAGAAGAAAAAAAGUGUAGGAAAACUUCGACAUUUCGGUACGAAAUUUAGUAUUUCCUUAAACAUCUUAAACAUUUCUAGAAAUCAAAAUUAUGAAUUUUGAGUUUUAUGUUUUGCAUGAUUUAUGUUUAAUAGUUCU